Molecule: RNA transcript, 1695 nt
Organism: Populus nigra (black poplar)
Lineage: Eukaryota; Viridiplantae; Streptophyta; Magnoliopsida; Malpighiales; Salicaceae
Gene name: probable protein phosphatase 2C 8
Exons: 11
Source: RefSeq, a predicted model, not a curated record
GAAAUCCUUUUUUUGUUAUUCUCUGCAACCAAACAGACUCCAAAAAAUGAGCGAAAGAAGCACAAAUCCAGUCACUGAAACAGAGACCUCAAAUCUGAAGCGCGAGAACCCAAUCAUCAUCGAGGAAUCAAAUUCAGAGUCAAAGAAACAAAAGACUGAAGCUGAAGUAUUGACGAGUGAAGAAAGCAAGCGAAACGACAGUGGAACGGAAGAGAAGAAGCAGAAACAGCAACAGAUUGCGGCGGAGAAGGAGUUUAAGAUCGAAGCCAAUGCGGCGGAGGAUAAAGGAUCGAGACACUCCAUGGAGGAUGCUUGGGUUGUGUUACUAGACGCUAGCUUGGACUCUCCUCCUGGAAAAUUGAGAUGCGCACAUUUUGCAAUAUAUGAUGGGCAUGGAGGGAGGUUAGCAGCUGAGUAUGCUCAGAAGAAUUUACAUAAAAACGUUGUCUCUUCUGGCUUACCACGUGAGUUGUUGGAUGUGAAAGCUGCCAAAAAGGCCAUUCUUGAUGGUUUUCGGAAAACUGAUGAGUCUCUCCUUCAAGAAAGUACUUCAGGAGGAUGGCAGGAUGGUGCUACGGCUGUAUGUGUAUGGGUAUUGGGACAAAAAGUUUUCAUUGCUAACAUAGGGGAUGCAAAAGCAAUUUUAGCCCGAUCAUCGAUUAUUGAUGGAUCACAGAAUCACCCAGAUGGAGUAAGUCCAUUGAAGGCUAUUGUUUUGACAAGGGAACACAAAGCCAUAUAUCCACAGGAACGUGCUCGAAUACAAAAGGCUGGUGGAAGCGUGAGUUCAAAUGGACGAUUACAAGGUCGCCUUGAGGUUUCUAGGGCUUUUGGAGACCGUCAAUUCAAGAAGGUAGGUGUUGUGGCAACCCCAGAUAUUCAUUCCUUUGACCUCACAGACAGAGAGCACUUUAUUAUUCUUGGUUGUGAUGGCCUAUGGGGGGUAUUUGGACCAAGUGAUGCUGUUGAAUUUGUUCAGAAAUUAUUGAAGGAAGGUUUAACUGUUGCAGCUGUGAGCCGCCGUCUUGUAAGGGAAGCUGUUCUUGAGCGGCGCUGCAAAGAUAAUUGCACUGCAAUCAUCAUUGUUUUCAAGCACAGUUAACAUGGAGGGCCACCGAUGUUCAAUGCGCUGGAAAAACAUUGCAGCAGCUGGCCAUCAGUACAUGGAGGUCUUGACACUUCUUUUUCUGUAAAUUGGAGAAACAUAGAUAGGAGGGAUAUGCAUGCGUGCUUUUUGCUAUUUUUUCUAAAAGAUUAUUUUCCAUGAACAUGUGCUUUAAAUUAAACCUUUUCAAGCCACAUCAAGUUCAGCAUUCAAGGUACAAAGUACAAACAACUCCAAGUUGCUCCUGUGAUUGGGCGUUCUGAUUAACAAGAAUCUCAAUUUCUUUUACAUACUUUCAAGGUAUGAUGGACAGAAUUGGAUACAGACAGAGUGGAGAGCCAGUGUUUCCACCACUUUCCUGUAACUUGUUUCGUUCACCAUGCUGACAGGUGGUUCGUGAAUGUAGACAGAAAAAUUAAAAAAAAAAGAAAAAAAAGGUCUACGCCCUUGUCGCGGCUCAAGAGUGCUAAUUUCCCAUGUGGCCAUGAAUUUAUCCUAACCAAAUCUUCCCAAGUCUCAAAUUAGAUACAUUUGUCUGGUAGAGAAAAAUCGCAUGUUCAGUUCUGUCCUAAAGUUAUAGCCAUUAUGUU